UACGUAGGUGGCAAGCGUUGUCCGGAUUGACUGGGCGUAAAGCGCACGCAGGCGGACGCGCGCGUGGGGUGUGAAAUCUGGCCGCUUAACGGCCAGGCGCCAUCCCAUACGGCGGAGCUGGAGUGAUGCAGAGGUCGAUGGAAUUGCCGGUGUAGUGGUGAAAUGCGUAGAGAUCGGCAGGAACACCCAGGGGGAAACCAGUCGACUGGGCAUCUACUGACGCUGAGGUGCGAGAGCGUGGGGAGCGAACCGG
Molecule: ribosomal RNA, 253 nt
Filed under: uncultured bacterium
Lineage: Bacteria
Description: partial 16S ribosomal RNA
Rfam family: Bacterial small subunit ribosomal RNA
Source: RNAcentral